This 520-nucleotide unclassified non-coding RNA is filed under the name uncultured Glomus. RNAcentral's name for it is "SSU rRNA". It matches the Rfam family "Eukaryotic small subunit ribosomal RNA", at positions 569 to 1090 of the family's 1831-position model. The record is from RNAcentral. Lineage: Eukaryota; Fungi; Glomeromycota; Glomeromycetes; Glomerales; Glomeraceae.
AGCAGCCGCGGUAAUUCCAGCUCCAAUAGCGUAUAUUAAAGUUGUUGCAGUUAAAAAGCUCGUAGUUGAAUUUCGGGAUCAAUAUGUUGGUCGUGCCUUGGUACGUACUGGCGUCAUUGAUUUCUACCUUCUGAAGAACCUCGAUGUCAUUAAUUUGGUGUCUUGGGGAAUCAGGACUGUUACUUUGAAAAAAUUAGAGUGUUUAAAGCAAGCUCACGCUUGAAUACAUUAGCAUGGAAUAAUGAAAUAGGACGUUUGAUUCUAUUUUGUUGGUUUCUAGGAUCGACGUAAUGAUUAAUAGGGAUAGUUGGGGGGCAUUAGUAUUCAAUUGUCAGAGGUGAAAUUCUUGGAUUUAUUGAAGACUAACUACUGCGAAAGCAUUUGCCAAGGAUGUUUUCAUUAAUCAAGAACGAAAGUUAGGGGAUCGAAGACGAUCAGAUACCGUCGUAGUCUUAACCAUAAACUAUGCCGACUAGGGAUCGGAUGAUGUUAAUUUUUUAAUGACUCAUUCGGCGCCUUA